UAAUUCGUAUGGUGCAAGCGUUAUUCGGAUUUAUUGGGCGUAAAGGGUUCGUAGGUGGUUUAUUAAGUCAGAUGUGAAAUCCAACGGCUCAACCGUUGAACUGCAUUUGAAACUGAUAAACUAGAGUAUUGGAGAGGUAAGUGGAAUUUCAGGUGUAGCGGUGGAAUGCGUAGAUAUCUGAAGGAACACCAAAAGCGAAGGCAGCUUACUGGACAAUUACUGACACUGAGGAACGAAGGCGUGGGUAGCGAAAAGGAUUAGAUACCCUUGUAGUCCACGCAGUAAACGUUGUGUACUAGUUGUGGGGGGAAUUAGCCCCCUCCGUGACUGAGCUAACGCAUUAAGUACACCGCCUGGGGACUACGGUCGCAAGACUA
RNAcentral lists this ribosomal RNA (377 nucleotides) under uncultured Lentisphaerota bacterium. RNAcentral describes it as "bacterial SSU rRNA". It matches the Rfam family "Bacterial small subunit ribosomal RNA", at positions 521 to 896 of the family's 1533-position model. Lineage: Bacteria; Pseudomonadati; Lentisphaerota. The record is from RNAcentral.